CUUUCAUAGCACUUCUAUAAGUAUUUCUGCUUACUACUUUUGCUUCUAUGUUCAUGCUCAGAUGAAUUACUACACAUACCACAACAUAUUUAGCUUCAGGCCAAUGUACAUGUGUGAGUACCAUCUGAUUGGAUAACUUCUAUACUUGCAACGAUCACAGAAUUUCAGGUUUCGGUAAACUGCAAACAGUUUAUAUGUCUUACAGACUAUGGAACCUUUCUCUUUGCCUCGGAUGAAAUCCACUGAUUCCAAGAAAAUGAAUACAUUAUUUGUGGAAGCAGGAAAGUGAUGAAUCUGGAACUAGUAAUGUGCUACUCGUUUUGAAGUCCUCAUGACCUACUCCUGAAUUCUCAUCACCUGUUCUGUGCUGCGGCAUUAGAAACCACAAUGGAAUGCUUGCACUGACAUAAGAAAGAGAACAAAGAUUUGUAUUGGUUUAAGCUGAAUAUCAAACUACACUUUAAGCUGUAAGGCACUUAAACUGGCAAACAAACAAGGGCUAAAGGCUGAAAGACCAGUUCCUAAGUUUGGCCCUAGGCCACGUCUGUGAAAAUGUUCUGAAGCUAUUCAGAAGAGACAAAUAAGAAGAGAUAAAUGUGACAAAUCUCAGGAACACUUUCCUUUUGUAACCGCUUUUGGAGCGAUGUGUCAAUAAAAACAAAAGUUUCAAAUUGGAUUACCGCUACCUACUGGCAGGGAUUAGGUAAAAUGUUAAGACAAAUGGGUAUAUUGAGUAAUAGCCUUCAAUUUUGUGAAAGAAACAAGCUCUACAGUUCUUUUUAUUUAAUUAAUAAAUCAACAAGUUACAACUGAACAAGUGUAGCUCAAAACACUUCUUUAGGUAACACAUACAAGUCUGUACAGUCUCUUGCUGCCUUUGGCUUUAUCUAGUACCCAAAUGAAUAAACAGCCAAAACAUUAGUAUUUCCUCAGAGGGGUGGGGGGGGGGGGGAAAGAAUGAAAGAGUAAACCUUUGAUCCAGAUUUGGCUGAAGAUUGAAUACAGCUGUGACCACAGCAGUUUUCAAUUUUUUUUUUUAUUACUCCCAAGUUCUGACAAAUGACUGUGUGCAUUCCCUGUAUAUAGUAGUUUCCAUCAUCUUCUUUCUUUGACUUUUUUUAAUGUAAAUGAGCCAGAGGGCUUUAAUGUGAUUACAAAUAAAGCAGAGCGAACUUACUCAACACUUGCAGUAAUAGUGGACUGAAACACUAUUUUUAAUUCAAUAAAAAUUUCAGAAAUAGUUGCAUUUUCAGGCUUGCAAAGCAAAACUUUUUCUGACAGAGAGAGAACUUGUCAUUUAUCUAGAAGUAUGUACCAAUGCAUUUAAAAGUGUUAACAAAGAUGCAGUCAGCAAAACAAUGCACAAUUAUUUGGCAAUUAGAAAGCAAUACAUUAAAGUACAGUUUAGAAUAGCUUUUAUGUUGAUAAUAGUGAAGGUAGUGUAGGAGAAAUAUUUUAGGGAACAUCUCCAGUUUGAAAAAUGAAGUUUGGGUAAAUAAGACUAUCCGUGUACUUUUUAAGUUAAUACUUCAUGACUCUUCCGUGGGUUUUUCUGCAUUUCGGUUAGUCUGGACCUGGUUUUGCUCAGUAGGAUUAAAUGUCACAGUUACGUUGCAUUUCUACAGUGAUAUUCCUGCUGAGUUACGUUUUUUUAGGUUUUCUGACGAGAUGAAUUGGAAUCCUGCUACCUCCCUAUUAGUAAUAAUGGACAAUUAUCUGACCUGGACAGGGAGAUGUCCUUAAAACGGUGCUUGUGGGAGAGAAUGUUAAAGAUGUAAACGCAAAUGAUGUUGAGAGCAAGAGUGAAAUGAUUGGAAAUGCCUCUAGAUACAGUAAAAAGGGAAUUUGAGUACCUAUGAUGGAGAAGUGUCUGCUUCAUGAAUAUAGACAGCUUAUUUUCUUCAAAAUCCUUUUUUUCACCUUCUUCUCAAAAUGAUAGCUGUAUGUGUUGUCUUGUGUGAACUUGGAUAUUUAUUUUCAUUUUAACAUGGUCCUUGGAAAGAGUUGAAAAUAAGAUAUAUUUUGUGGAGAUGUUUGCUGAGUAGUUAUCUUCUCUUAUACUGUCAAACUGGUUUGGAAAGACAGAUCCUGAGUGCUCAAGGAGAUCUUGCAUCUUUUAGAACAACAAACUUAAAUGUCAAGAGUGCACUAUUGAUCAAAACAUCAGCAGGCUGACAACGCAGCAGCCACUUGACAAUAGAGAAAAAAAUUACUCCUGUCCAUGCUAUGUAAAGCCCUUCAUCAGAUUUUCAGUCUUCCUAGAAGUAUACUUAUCAUCUAGCUCUGGCAGACAAUAAGAAGAUGUGCUAUGAAUAAACUUACUGUCACUUGCAAUUAUGCUCUUCUUGGACUAUUAAAAAAGCAGACAGCAGUCUGGCAGAAGCCAGUCUCCGACAUCUUGAUAACCUGACCAAACUGCCUAAGAACUAAAGGCUGGCCAUCAAGGCUAAGAACUGAUAUGUUUCUACAUGAGUUCCACUGCUGAUAUAUUACUCAGCAUGCCACUAUGAAUCACGACCAGAAAUGCAACAGCUCCUUUUCUAGGGCUUCACUUGGCCUCCCGGCUGACCAGUUGUGACUGCUACGCAUCUCCACCUUCAGCUUCUUUCAUGUCUUCCUCAUAAGCCACCUCAGAACCUGUUUACAGUAUUAAAUUUCUGUGAUUACUGUCCGCUUGCUUGGGUGCUGAGCACAUUCCUGCCUUGCCUUUGGCUUGGCUUUUUCUACUUGACCAGUGUCUUUUGUGAUGCUAGCCCUUACCUCCAGACUACAUCAGCCUAAUCAGACCAGUUUCUGCGGUUGCCUAUGCUUUGAUUAUGAUUGUUUAACAUCUACUGCAUUCACCGAGAAUCUUCAACUUUUAAU
Gallus gallus (chicken) is the source of this 2865-nucleotide long non-coding RNA. The record is from Ensembl. Lineage: Eukaryota; Metazoa; Chordata; Aves; Galliformes; Phasianidae.